CCCUUAGAUGUUCUGGGCCGCACGCGCGCUACACUGAUGCAUUCAACGAGUAAUCUUUGACCUUGGUCGACAGAUCUGGGUAAUCUUUUGAAAUUGCAUCGUGAUGGGGCUUGCGGGUUGCAAUUACCCGCACCAACGAGGAAUUCCUAGUAAACGCAAGUCAUCAACUUGCAUUGAUUACGUCCCUGCCCUUUGUACACACCGCCCGUCGCUCCUACCGAUUGAGCGGUCCGGUGAAGACUCAGGAGAUGGGCGCGUGCUUGGUUCGCCAACUGCGCUGUCUGCCAAAUUUGUCUAAACCUUAUCGCUUAGAGGAAGGAGAAGUCGUAACA
This 332-nucleotide ribosomal RNA is filed under the name uncultured eukaryote. Its description in RNAcentral is "partial 18S ribosomal RNA". It matches the Rfam family "Eukaryotic small subunit ribosomal RNA", at positions 1470 to 1796 of the family's 1831-position model. The record is from RNAcentral.